This 484-nucleotide ribosomal RNA is filed under the name uncultured bacterium. RNAcentral describes it as "partial 16S ribosomal RNA". It matches the Rfam family "Bacterial small subunit ribosomal RNA", at positions 30 to 507 of the family's 1533-position model. The record is from RNAcentral.
AUUGAACGCUGGCGGCAGGCCUAACACAUGCAAGUCGAGCGGAUGAAGGGAGCUUGCUCCUGGAUUCAGCGGCGGACGGGUGAGUAAUGCCUAGGAAUCUGCCUGGUAGUGGGGGAUAACGUCCGGAAACGGGCGCUAAUACCGCAUACGUCCUGAGGAAGAAAGUGGGGAUUGUUCGAACCUCACGUUAUAAAUGGAGCUGCGUUCGGAUUAGCUAGUUGGUGGGUGAAUGGCCUACCAAGGGGAGUAACGGUAACUGGUCUGGGAGGAUGAUCACUCACACUGGAACUGGGACACGGUCCAGACUCCUACGGGAGGCAGCAGUGGGGAAUAUUGGACAAUGGGCGAAAGCCUGAUCCAGCCAUGCCGCGUGUGUGAAGAAGGUCUUCGGAUUGUAAAGCACUUUAAGUUGGGAGGAAGGGCAGUAAGUUAAUACCUUGCUGUUUUGACGUUACCAACAGAAUAAGCACCGGCUAACUUCGUG